RNAcentral lists this ribosomal RNA (253 nucleotides) under uncultured bacterium. Its description in RNAcentral is "partial 16S ribosomal RNA". It matches the Rfam family "Bacterial small subunit ribosomal RNA", at positions 524 to 776 of the family's 1533-position model. The record is from RNAcentral.
UACAGAGGGUGCAAGCGUUAAUCGGAAUUACUGGGCGUAAAGCGUGCGUAGGCGGUUAUCUAAGUCGGAUGUGAAAUCCCCGGGCUCAACCUGGGAAUUGCAUUCGAAACUGAAUAGCUAGAGUUCGGCAGAGGGAAGUGGAAUUUCUGGUGUAGCGGUGAAAUGCGUAGAUAUCAGAAGGAACAUCAGUGGCGAAAGCGACUUCCUGGACCAGAACUGACGCUCAGGCACGAAAGCGUGGGGAGCAAACAGG